GCUUGCACCUUUCAAGUGAGUGGCGAACGGGUGAGUAACACGUGGACAACCUGCCUCAAGGCUGGGGAUAACAUUUGGAAACAGAUGCUAAUACCGAAUGAAACUUAGUGUCGCAUGAUACGAAGUUAAAAGGCGCUUUGGCGUCACCUAGAGAUGGAUCCGCGGUGCAUUAGUUAGUUGGUGGGGUAAAGGCCUACCAAGACAAUGAUGCAUAGCCGAGUUGAGAGACUGAUCGGCCACAUUGGGACUGAGACACGGCCCAAACUCCUACGGGAGGCUGCAGUAGGGAAUCUUCCACAAUGGGCGAAAGCCUGAUGGAGCAACGCCGCGUGUGUGAUGAAGGCUUUCGGGUCGUAAAGCACUGUUGUAUGGGAAGAACAGCUAGAAUAGGGAAUGAUUUUAGUUUGACGGUACCAUACCAGAAAGGGACGGCUAAAUACGUGCCAGCAGCCGCGGUAAUACGUAUGUCCCGAGCGUUAUCCGGAUUUAUUGGGCGUAAAGCGAGCGCAGACGGUUGAUUAAGUCUGAUGUGAAAGCCCGGAGCUCAACUCCGGAAUGGCAUUGGAAACUGGUUAACUUGAGUGCAGUAGAGGUAAGUGGAACUCCAUGUGUAGCGGUGGAAUGCGUAGAUAUAUGGAAGAACACCAGUGGCGAAGGCGGCUUACUGGACUGUAACUGACGUUGAGGCUCGAAAGUGUGGGUAGCAAACAGGAUUAGAUACCCUGGUAGUCCACACCGUAAACGAUGAACACUAGGUGUUAGGAGGUUUCCGCCUCUUAGUGCCGAAGCUAACGCAUUAAGUGUUCCGCCUGGGGAGUACGACCGCAAGGUUGAAACUCAAAGGAAUUGACGGGGACCCGCACAAGCGGUGGAGCAUGUGGUUUAAUUCGAAGCAACGCGAAGAACCUUACCAGGUCUUGACAUCCUUUGAAGCUUUUAGAGAUAGAAGUGUUCUCUUCGGAGACAAAGUGACAGGUGGUGCAUGGUCGUCGUCAGCUCGUGUCGUGAGAUGUUGGGUUAAGUCCCGCAACGAGCGCAACCCUUAUUGUUAGUUGCCAGCAUUCAGAUGGGCACUCUAGCGAGACUGCCGGUGACAAACCGGAGGAAGGCGGGGACGACGUCAGAUCAUCAUGCCCCUUAUGACCUGGGCUACACACGUGCUACAAUGGCGUAUACAACGAGUUGCCAACCCGCGAGGGUGAGCUAAUCUCUUAAAGUACGUCUCAGUUCGGAUUGUAGUCUGCAACUCGACUA
RNAcentral lists this ribosomal RNA (1254 nucleotides) under Leuconostoc pseudomesenteroides. Its description in RNAcentral is "bacterial SSU rRNA". It matches the Rfam family "Bacterial small subunit ribosomal RNA", at positions 78 to 1318 of the family's 1533-position model. The record is from RNAcentral. Lineage: Bacteria; Bacillati; Bacillota; Bacilli; Lactobacillales; Lactobacillaceae.